Molecule: ribosomal RNA, 253 nt
Filed under: uncultured bacterium
Lineage: Bacteria
Description: partial 16S ribosomal RNA
Rfam family: Bacterial small subunit ribosomal RNA
Source: RNAcentral
UACGUAGGGGGCAAGCGUUGUCCGGAAUCAUUGGGCGUAAAGCGCGUGUAGGCGGCCCGAUAAGUCCGCUGUGAAAGUCCAGGGCUCAACCCUGGGAUGCCGGUCGAUACUGCCGGACUAGAGUUCGGAAGAGGCGAGUGGAAUUCCCGGUGUAGCGGUGAAAUGCGCAGAUAUCGGGAGGAACACCAAUGGCGAAGGCAGCUCGCUGGGACGUUACUGACGCUGAGACGCGAAAGCGUGGGGAGCGAACAGG